GAUCCCUGGCUCAGGACGAACGCUGGCGGCAUGCCUAAUACAUGCAAGUCGAGCGGAGUAAGAAUGGAAGCUUGCUUCCAUUCUUACUUAGCGGCGGACGGGUGAGUAACACGUAGGCAACCUGCCCUCAAGACUGGGAUAACUACCGGAAACGGUAGCUAAUACCGGAUAAUUUCUUUCCUCUCCUGAAGAGAGAAUGAAAGGCGGAGCAAUCUGCCACUUGGGGAUGGGCCUGCGGCGCAUUAGCUAGUUGGUGGGGUAACGGCUCACCAAGGCGACGAUGCGUAGCCGACCUGAGAGGGUGAACGGCCACACUGGGACUGAGACACGGCCCAGACUCCUACGGGAGGCAGCAGUAGGGAAUCUUCCGCAAUGGGCGAAAGCCUGACGGAGCAAUGCCGCGUGAGUGAUGAAGGUUUUCGGAUCGUAAAGCUCUGUUGCCAGGGAAGAACGUCCGGUAGAGUAACUGCUACCGGAGUGACGGUACCUGAGAAGAAAGCCCCGGCUAACUA
RNAcentral lists this ribosomal RNA (512 nucleotides) under Paenibacillaceae bacterium BF.74. RNAcentral's name for it is "bacterial SSU rRNA". It matches the Rfam family "Bacterial small subunit ribosomal RNA", at positions 15 to 503 of the family's 1533-position model. Lineage: Bacteria; Bacillati; Bacillota; Bacilli; Caryophanales; Paenibacillaceae. The record is from RNAcentral.